This 253-nucleotide ribosomal RNA is filed under the name uncultured bacterium. RNAcentral describes it as "partial 16S ribosomal RNA". It matches the Rfam family "Bacterial small subunit ribosomal RNA", at positions 524 to 776 of the family's 1533-position model. The record is from RNAcentral.
UACGUAGGGUGCAAGCGUUAAUCGGAAUUACUGGGCGUAAAGCGUGCGCAGGCGGUGAUGUAAGACAGAUGUGAAAUCCCCGGGCUCAACCUGGGAACUGCAUUUGUGACUGCAUCGCUGGAGUACGGCAGAGGGGGAUGGAAUUCCGCGUGUAGCAGUGAAAUGCGUAGAGAUGCGGAGGAACACCGAUGGCGAAGGCAGCCCCCUGGGCCAAUACUGACGCUCAGGCACGAAAGCGUGGGGAGCAAACAGG